Molecule: long non-coding RNA, 1480 nt
Organism: Sceloporus undulatus (fence lizard)
Lineage: Eukaryota; Metazoa; Chordata; Lepidosauria; Squamata; Phrynosomatidae
Exons: 3
Source: RefSeq, a predicted model, not a curated record
CACAGGGAUCAUCAUAGAAGGGUACUGGCCACCCAUGUAGGAGUUCAAGCCCCCUGCCCCACAAGCUCAUUGCUACCCAUCCAGGGCCAUUCUGGAUGGAUCCUAAACUCCACAGAAAUUUAAAGAGGCCAUCCAGAGUUGGAGACCCCAUUUCUCAACAUCUUCUUCUCCUCUUUCCUUCUAGGCUGCGAAGGCUGCUGUGUAUCUCCCACAGGAAGAGCAGAAAUGUUACGCCAGUUUCAGUGGGCAUCCCUAUCAGUCCUGUAAAGCCUCCUGGGGCUGAAAGUAACAGGAUCCCAGCCCAACAUUGCUGGUGGUUCUGCAGGGUAUACCAGCGGUAACAUCUGCUGGGCAGGCAACCAGUCAGCCAUCACUAUGUGAACCCCAGUUACCUGUUUGACAAGAUGAAGGGGAUCCUUGAGGAGAGAGCCAGUGCUUUCGCAGAGGCUGAGGGAUCUUCCUGGCCACUUCCAACUCUCCGGUCAGAAAGGAAUCUGCCCUGAACUUAAGAACAAUUGCAGGGAUGAUAAUCAAAAUCAACAAGAGAGACCAGCACAUCCUGGUGUGUCUUGACUAGGAGACACUGGGCAUGUUACAGGCUUUCUCUGGCAACUGCACAACUGCUUUGGAGAAGAGGUGCAAAGACUUGGGUCUUCUACUCAAAAAAGUGCAGAAGGAGGAAAUGAAAACAAAUGCCUGGUAGCCAACAAUAACAUCUGGCUAAAUACCACUGUGCCAAUAUUUAGCUCCCUCUGGCGAUGCUGCCAAGGCACUGUAAGCUCCCUGGAGCGUCAUGGUGACAUCACGUGCAUGCCACGCUGUUUAGAUGCGGCAUGUGCAUGAUGUCAUCAACACGUGUGUCAUGUGGACAGCACUGCGAAACAAUGGCGCCGCUGUGAUAUGCUAGGGUUCCGGAGCGUGCGGAUGCUGUGCACUCUGGAUCCCUAGACUUGGCCCCAGGCUGCCACAAACCGGCAGUCUGUACUGGGCCUUAGUUAGCAUUUAGGAUAUUAUUUAAUUUGUGUUUACUGGUCUUGUUUACACUUUUGGUAUACUGUUUAAUAUGAUGUUUAAUCUAGUCUAGUUUUAAUUUUAGAUGUGUGUGUGUGUAUUUGCAUAUGGGUAUAUUUAUAUUUUUCUUUCUUUCUAUUUUCUUCUUUUUCCCCCUGUUUUGUAUGUUGUAAGUGAAGUUGAUGGUUUGUUAAUAUAUAUAUAAAACAAGAAGCCAAAGAAGGAGGAGGAGGACAGGAGGAGGAUAUUAGUAAAAUUGCUUUACUUUACUGGCCAUAUAUAAUUUAACUCUUCUCCAUUACAUUCCUUCAGACUAUUUCAUGUUGAAUUCUGUGGCUGUCAUGGUUUUCUUCUUCCUCCUCUUCUUUUUCAUAUUUUAUUGAUUCUAUAUAGCAUAAGCCACCCUAUGGGAUUUGUUAAAAAGCUGUGUGGCAGGAUAUAAGUAUGAAUAAUAAAUACAAAAUGUUAA